RNAcentral lists this long non-coding RNA (209 nucleotides) under Mytilus galloprovincialis (Mediterranean mussel). The record is from RNAcentral. Lineage: Eukaryota; Metazoa; Mollusca; Bivalvia; Mytilida; Mytilidae.
GAUAUAAUUCAUGAACCAUAUCUAAUAAAAACCUAGGGUCUUUUGAUUCGAGGUCCUUGAUUUAUGACCUUGACAUUGAGGUCAAGGUCAUAAGUAAAUUUGACGUUCUUGAUUUUGUCUUUGAUUUUUGAUAAUUAUACAUUAUCAAGCCAUAUAAGACUUUGUGCAUUAGAUAACAAAGCCAUAUGACUGUGAAAAAGCAAACCGGA